Molecule: unclassified non-coding RNA, 222 nt
Filed under: Hevea brasiliensis (rubber tree)
Lineage: Eukaryota; Viridiplantae; Streptophyta; Magnoliopsida; Malpighiales; Euphorbiaceae
Source: RNAcentral
AAUUGGCCUGAUUAUUGUUUCUUCCUCUUCUUGAAGGAUUUUAUUUUGUUUGAUAUUGGUAGGCAGAAAUUAAUCAUCAUGAGAGAUAACCAAUCAUCAUAACAUUUUGAAUCAAGGGAGCCAGGAUGAUUAUGCUGUGCUUUGAGAAAUGUGCAAAAAAUGUUUUGAAUUCUGCUUUUAUUUAAACUUAUCCCUGUUAUGAAUGCAAUUGCAGGUUUUGAG